RNAcentral lists this ribosomal RNA (720 nucleotides) under uncultured bacterium. RNAcentral's name for it is "bacterial SSU rRNA". It matches the Rfam family "Bacterial small subunit ribosomal RNA", at positions 388 to 1127 of the family's 1533-position model. The record is from RNAcentral.
GCAGCAACGCCGCGUGCGCGAAGAAGGCCUUCGGGUUGUAAAGCGCUUUUCUAGCUGAAGAGGGAGGACGGUAGGCUAGGAAGAAGAGUCGGCUAACUACGUGCCAGCAGCCGCGGUAAAACGUAGGACUCGAGCGUUAUCCGGAUUUACUGGGUGUAAAGGGCGYGCAGGCGGGCUAGCAAGUCAGAGGUGAAAUCUCCCGGCUUAACUGGGAAACUGCCUUUGAAACUGCUAGWCUUGAGUGCGGAAGAGAGAGACGGAAUUCCAGGUGUAGCGGUGAAAUGCGUAGAUAUCUGGAAGAACACCAGUUGCGAAGGCGGUCUCUUGGUCCGUUACUGACGCUCAGGCGCGAAAGCGUGGGGAGCAAACAGGAUUAGAUACCCUGGUAGUCCACGCCCUAAACGAUGAAUACUAGGUGUUGGUCUUUUUGAUCAGUGCCGCAGCUAACGCAUUAAGUUGACCGCCUGGGGACUACGGCCGCAAGGCUAAAACUCAAAGGAAUUGACGGGGACCCGCACAAGCAGCGGAGCGUGUGGUUUAAUUCGAGGCUACGCGAAGAACCUUACCAGGGUUUGACAUAUGCGUGGUAGUGAUUCGAAAGAUGAACGACCCUUCGGGGAGCGCAUACAGGUGCUGCRUGGCUGUCGUCAGCUCGUGYCGUGAGGUGUUAGGUUAAGUCCUGUAACGAGCGCAACCCUCGUCGUUAGUUACAUGUGUCUA